GAUACUGGCAAACUAGAGUGCCGGAGAGGAAAGCGGAACCUCUUGGUGUAACGGUGGAAUGUGUAGAUAUCAAGAGGAACACCGGUGGCGAAGGCGGCUUUCUGGACGCACACUGGCGCUCAGGCGCGAAAGCGUGGGUAGCAAACAGGAUUAGAUACCCUGGUAGUCCACGCCAUAAACGAUGGGUACUAGGUGUCGGGGGUAUCGACCCCUCCGGUGCCGCAGUUAACGCACUAAGUACCCCGCCUGGGGAUUAUGGUCGCAAGGCUGAAACUCAAAGGAAUUGACGGGGCCCCGCACAAGCGGUGGAGCAUGUGGUUUAAUUCGACGCAACGCGAAGAACCUUACCUGGGCUUGACAUGCUUGGGACAGCGCUGGAAACAGCGUCUCUCCUUCGGGAGCCCUUGCACAGGUGCUGCAUGGCUGUCGUCAGCUCGUGUCGUGAGAUGUUGGGUUAAGUCCCGCAACGAGCGCAACCCUCGUUACUAGUUGCCAUCAGUUCGGCUGGGCACUCUAGUGAGACUGCCGGUGAUAAACCGGAGGAAGGUGAGGAUGAUGUCAAGUCAUCAUGGCCCUUACGCCCAGGGCUACACACGUGCUACAAUGGUCGGCACAAAGGGUCGCUAAGCCGCGAGGUGGAGCUAAUCCCAAAAAGCCGGCCUCAGUUCGGAUUGGAGUCUGCAACCCGACUCCAUGAAGGCGGAAUCGCUAGUAAUCGCGGAUCAGCAUGCCGCGGUGAAUAUGUUCACCGGGGCUUGUACACACCGCCCGUCAUAUCACCCGAGUCGGGGAUACCCGAAGUCCGUGACCCAACCAUUUGGAGGGAGCGGC
Molecule: ribosomal RNA, 831 nt
Filed under: uncultured organism
Description: bacterial SSU rRNA
Rfam family: Bacterial small subunit ribosomal RNA
Source: RNAcentral